Molecule: long non-coding RNA, 215 nt
Organism: Pecten maximus
Lineage: Eukaryota; Metazoa; Mollusca; Bivalvia; Pectinida; Pectinidae
Exons: 3
Source: RefSeq, a predicted model, not a curated record
GGGGGGAUGGAGGGGUUAAGUAUUAGGUAUAGAGGUGAGGGAUGGAGGGGUUAAGUAUUAGGUAUAGAGGUGGGGGAUGGAGGGGUUAAGUAUUAGGUAUAGAGGUGGGGGAUGGAGGGGUUAAGUAUUAGGUAUAGAGGUGGGGGAUGGAGGGGUUAAGUAUUAGGUAGGUAGGACAUGGCAGUAACACAUUACCUCGGUUCCUCCGGCCCCAG